CGGGCGAGGGUGUGGGUGUGGCG
RNAcentral lists this microRNA (23 nucleotides) under Bombyx mori (domestic silkworm). RNAcentral's name for it is "bmo-miR-2783". Lineage: Eukaryota; Metazoa; Arthropoda; Insecta; Lepidoptera; Bombycidae. The record is from miRBase by way of RNAcentral.